This 492-nucleotide ribosomal RNA is filed under the name uncultured bacterium. Its description in RNAcentral is "partial 16S ribosomal RNA". It matches the Rfam family "Bacterial small subunit ribosomal RNA", at positions 29 to 507 of the family's 1533-position model. The record is from RNAcentral.
AGUGAACGCUGGCGGUAGGCCUAACACAUGCAAGUCGAACGGCAGCACAGUAAGAGCUUGCUCUUACGGGUGGCGAGUGGCGGACGGGUGAGGGAUACAUCGGAAUCUACUUUUUCGUGGGGGAUAACGUAGGGAAUCUUACGCUAAUACCGCAUACGACCUACGGGUGAAAGCAGGGGAUCUUCGGACCUUGCGCGAUUGAAUGAGCCGAUGUCGGAUUAGCUAGUUGGCGGGGUAAAGGCCCACCAAGGCGACGAUCCGUAGCUGGUCUGAGAGGAUGAUCAGCCACACUGGAACUGAGACACGGUCCAGACUCCUACGGGAGGCAGCAGUGGGGAAUAUUGGACAAUGGGCGCAAGCCUGAUCCAGCCAUACCGCGUGGGUGAAGAAGGCCUUCGGGUUGUAAAGCCCUUUUGUUGGGAAAGAAAAGCAGCAGGUUAAUACCCCGCUGUUCUGACGGUACCUAAAGAAUAAGCACCGGCUAACUUCGUG